GGGGACGCGUGGUUUCGACAGGGGGAGUGUGCUCAGAGUAGCAGGCCGAGGCGCCAUCACCUCGUAAAAAGGUGGCAAAACACAACUGCCGAAGCAGUUCCAGUAGCAGCCUAAGAGGUUGCCGUUCAACCCGAUCUCACCCUGACGGGUCGGGAUUGAGCGCAACAACAGCCGGGGUGCGGCAGCUCUGACGCCGAUAUGGGGUUGCCAAAGAAAAAGUCGGCUGGCUCCGGCGUACUCGGUCGAAUGAGGCCGGCGGGGCGAGAAACAAAGAAUCGACUAAGCCUGUAGUCGACUCUGGGUGAGCUUCUUCUGGACGGGGAGUUCGACUCUCCCCCGUCUCCACCA
RNAcentral lists this transfer-messenger RNA (348 nucleotides) under Dehalococcoidia. Its description in RNAcentral is "JACPRR01 sp016189825 Standard tmRNA". It matches the Rfam family "transfer-messenger RNA". Rfam says of the family: Bacterial tmRNA, also known as 10Sa RNA or SsrA, is named for its dual tRNA and mRNA-like properties. Its role is to liberate the mRNA from a stalled ribosome. To accomplish this part of the tmRNA is used as a reading frame that ends in a translation stop signal. RNAcentral also lists the same sequence under 1 other name. The record is from RNAcentral. Lineage: Bacteria; Bacillati; Chloroflexota.